Molecule: ribosomal RNA, 97 nt
Filed under: Bacillus vallismortis
Lineage: Bacteria; Bacillati; Bacillota; Bacilli; Caryophanales; Bacillaceae
Description: partial 23S ribosomal RNA
Rfam family: Bacterial large subunit ribosomal RNA
Source: RNAcentral
GAUCCCUGAAAGAUGAUCAGGUUGAUAGGUCUGAGGUGGAAGUGUGGCGACACAUGGAGCUGACAGAUACUAAUCGAUCGAGGACUUAACCACAUUU